UGAAAUCAAAAUUAAACUGGAAUAAACUAAAGAUACUGUCUGAAUAACUAAUACUGAAAGUCUGGAUAAUAGCUAGUAGUCCAACAAGCCUCUACAACUAAUAAACUAGAGAGCCAUUGGAACAAACCCCCAACUGACUUGAACUAAACUGUAAAUAGUAAAUCAAAUACUAUGAAAGCUGAAAAUCUAGAUAAAUUGGCCCUCGAACCAUGAGGACUCACAACUGUAGGAAUGUAGAUAGAGAUUCCCGAAAUCACUCACACUGCUGAGACUGAGCACCUGAACCUACAUUAUGAGACAAUGUAGCACAUAGACGUAUAUGUGAAUCAGUACUUUGACGAUGUACUAAGUAAUGGGGGUGAAUGCAUAAGUAAAUGUAAUCUCUCAACGUUAUUAAAAUCAUAGAAUAUGCAUGUUGUAUGUAAUGACUCACAUGGCUGGAAUAAUUGGAAGCUAAAAAUCAUAGAUCAUGAACAAUUAAACAUAUUGUAUAAAACUGGUGCGCCAUCACCUUUAAAGUCUAAAUCCUGUACUUGUAUACUGUUUUCAAAUCAUGCAAACUAAGUGUAGAAAGGACUCACUUUUAUCAUCUAAAAACUAAAAGCUGAAAUCUAAUAAUUGAUGUGCUAUGUAAGAUAAUAUCUGAGUAAAAUUCUGAGCCUUUACACCUAGUUUCGAAAAGCUUUUCUGUUAUUAUUUUCUGUUAGAAAGGUUCUUCUAACCGACAUAAACCAUGUGAGCUAUCAUGGAGUCCAACUUCUCGUUCCCCUAAGGGAAAAAUCUCAUGUUGGGGAGAGGUGUCAUACUCUUGCUAGGGAGUAUAACCUGAGCUAAGUGAUCACAUUUGUAACUGUCAUCCAUAUAAAAAUUGGAAUACUGAAUCUGUACCUACAUUGGCACAUAGUUCUAGGAAAGUAGGAUGCUCUAAACCUACACUUUCUGCUCGGUGCUAAAUACUACUCCCUUUAGUCUACAUUCUCAUUCUGUUGGAAAUCCACUUUAAAACUCGUAUAAAGGUUUAUAAUGAAAAUCAAUUUUAUAUCUGUAAAUCUAUUAUGUAACUAAAACUAUAAAGUGGAUUGUAUAUCAAAGCUAAGAUCAAAAGAUCACAUCUUUAUCAAAAUCUGAAAAUAACUAGUCAUGGGAUGCUUAAAGCAUAGUCAUUCUUGAAAUAUCAACAUACAAACUAGGGCCAAGUAACCCAUACUUCAAAAUCUUGUCAAAACAUCAUAAUAUCCAUGCUUCAUGAUGUAAAUAUUGGUAAUUCAAUUCAAAAUCUGAAAAUUUUGACAAUACACAUAAAAAUACUAAACAAAACAUGCAAUUCAACACCAAAAAUACUUAAAACAUCAUAAUCUUCAAAUAGCAAUAAAUGGGUAUGAACCCUAAAUUGAUAUCCAUGUAAAGUCAUGUAAAUUUGUAAUUUAAAACUAGUUUUGGACACAAGGAUGAAAGAUUUAUCCUUGUGCAAAAUCCCACAUAUCUUAAAUGAUGAACUAGAUGAAAAAACUUGGUUUUGAGAUCCUAUGUGUGCUCUUGAAUGUUGAUUCUUGGAAUUCUUGAAUUGGGAACCUUGAAUUUUGAACUAUUUUGGUCAAAGAAUGGUGGAAUUUUGGGGAUUCUUGAAGUUGAAUAUUGAAGCCUAGAGUUUUAGUUGAGAGAAAUUUGAUGGACAAUGAGCAUAUUUUGCUCAAUAAUACACUUAAUCGUUUGUUUUCACAGUUUGGGGAUGUGGGCAAAAGACUAAACUUCCCUUGAAAUUUAAAAUUCGUAACUAGGUUGUCGAUUGAGGCUUCACCUCUACGCGGUGAGUGGGUCAUCGCGAUACCCACCGUGAUGCGAUGGAAUCGCGGUGACUCACUCAAUUGUGACAAUUUGUCACGACCCGAGUCAGCACCCUGGCCGCGACGAGCAUCCCGAACCAUGUAGGCUCGGGCGCCUCUUCUUGUUCGAUACUCAUGAACACCAUUCAUAACAAUAAAGAAAAAAAUAUGGAAUAUAACAAAUGAAAUCAUAGUCAUACUCUGAGUUUGGUUUAACAUUUCAGAAAUAAGUAAAUCAACAACUAGAAAAUAUUUGUUCCAGUCUGCGAAAUCUCUAUUGCAUAUUAAAUUAGCAAACUGUCUAAAAUUGGGACAAGGCCCCAGUGGACCUAAACCAAAGUAAAUGACAAGUAUUUGAGAAGAAAUAGGCUUUCCGGAAUAGAGAAGACUCACCAACUGCACACUUCACAUCUUUCUGAAAAACUCUACGGCUUAGCAGAACCGCUAGACUGAGCCUCAGACCCUGAAAUAUUGAGGGUCAAUACAAUUGUACUGGUACGCAGAGCAAUCCAAAAUAAUGAAGUUAUACAUAUAUAACAUAGGUGAGAGCAAGUCAUAAAACAUUAUGCAUGAAAUAGUUCAAAAUACAUUGGCCAUCUCGAAUGCUCUUAAAACAAUCUUGUAAAUGCAACUCUAUGCUUUGUAUUACUUUUGAGCUAGGUGGUAUACCCUACAAUUCUGAAAUUCCAUGGACUAUAUAGAAUCUGCUCUUGACUCGGCAGCCAAGCCCCCAACUCAAGUUUGCCGCAAAAGUUGGAGUAUCUGUCUCUGAUACGCCACAGGGUACUAGGCCAGUGUAUAAUCCCUCUUGGGGAUGUAAUGAAACUCAUAUCGACAAAACAUGAUUUUAGGUAGGAGUUAUUUGAACUCAAACCUUCUUUAAGCAACCACCUAACCCUCUUUAAGCCUAUUUUUAACUCUUUAAGACAUGUGUUCUUUGAAACCAAGUCUGAAACUAUUAAUCUGUUAUGGCAUUCAUUUAUAUGGUAUCAUCAUACCAUUGACUUGCAAGUCGAAUCCCUAAGCCAUAAAAUAUCAAAUCAAAUAAUUCAAUAAGAUUCAUACUUCAAAAUAUUUGUCAAAUUAUGCAAAGAAUCUCGCUUUCCAAUAUUUCAACAAAACAUGUGGUGGUCAUGUAUUUUUGACAAACCAUGCAAUUCUUCAUUAUUUAUUUUCAACAUUUAUAAACAUGUAAAAAACCCUCUCUUCAAUUCAAAAUCAUCAUCAAAUCAUAAAUAAUAAUCAAGACAUUUGUAUCAUGCUUCUCAAGAUGCAUUAAAAAUAAUCCAUAUCGUAUGAAAAGACUAGGAAAUCAUGGCAAGAGAGGGAUUCCAUAUAUUCAAACCUAAUUUCAUACAUACAUAUGAGUACAAAUAAAUUAGGGGGAAAGGCCUCAAGACCAAAAUAAUAAUAUCAUUAAAGAAUUCAUAAUGCAAGAUUGUAUAUUUAAUUCCAAAACCCUUCACAAAUUCAUGAUCUCACAAUGUUUAAAUGGUAUUGAAAUAAUUUCCUUAUGCCCAUGUAGUCACUUAGGAGGAAGGGUGGAAUCCGAAUCUCACUUAAGUUCUUGAAAUUCUUGACUUCAAAGAUGAACUCUUGACUAAUAUACCCCUCCUGACCCAGAAUUUAAAAAGAAAUCGUGAAUUGGGUACCGACGCAAUGCGUCGAUAUUGCGUCGGUCCACUAUUUCAUCGAUGCGGUGCAUCGAAUUCGCGUCAAUUCACUAUUUCCAACAACCAAUCUCACCUCUAACGCUUUUCAAAAAAUCUGAAACUUCCUCGACACAUUCCCUUUACACCCCAGAACAUAAAAAAAAUUUAAAAAUCCAUAUCUCAAGAUUGGAAAAAUUGAUUUAGAGAUCACACAAAUUUAGGAGCUUAAAAUAUGACUUAAGUCCUUUUUGACACUUAGAAAAUUUUCAAGUUUCUAGCCUCUCAAACAUGCUACAAGGUGAGAUACCACGUAGAAGAUUUUUGCGGAGUGUUACACAAUUGCUGCUUUGAGGUUCAUCGUGACGCGGUGCAAUCGCGGUGACCCUCUGAAAAUUGACGAAUGCCAAAAUGGAUUUCAUCGAGAUGCGAUGGCAUGCUCAUCUCGAUACUCACCGUGAUGCGGUGCAAUUGCGAUGAGCUACUAUUUUGCCAAUUCGAAUGUGAUCCAAUCCUUAUCCGAAAAUUCCAAAACUUCCUGAGACAUGCUAUUUUUACCCCUAAAUAUAAUUCAACUAAAAAUUCAUUGCCGUGGAGACUGAAAGGUCAACUUAAAAAUCUUUAAAGUUUAAAGGGAGUCAAAAUGACUAAGUCCCUUAGUUCUUAGAUUUAUUAUCAGGUUCAAGUAUGUACUAAGGGCUGGACUGAGCUAGAAAUAUUUGGGGUAUUACAAGUAUUCACAAACAAAGAACGAAUUUAACUUCAGAUCCUAUCCGAUUUGUAUUAGGAUACACUGUAAUUGAUAGCGAAAGAGAAAAGUGGACUUCUAUUUUAUAAUUAAAAAACUCCUUCCAUAUCAGUUUUUAUUUGCAAAAAUAAAAAAUAUUUCCUACGACAAUUUCCUUCAACCAACUAUAUCAUCCUUGUUAUAAAAUAUAAAACAAGAAGACUAAAUAGAGAGAGAAGUGGGAGACUUUUUUAUUUCCCUUGAUGGAUGAAAGAUCAUCAGAUUGAGUAUAUAAUGAACAAAAUCUCUCUAUUUAUAAGGAAAAAUACUCCUAGUUUCUAACUAAAAGAUAUAUACUUCAAAUCUGAUAGAUAUCAACUAGAUCUUGAUAGAUCUCAUUAGAUCUUAUCUAUAUUCUUGAUAGACAUUCACUAUAAUGUAAAUACAUUUAUAACACUUCCCCUUGAAUGUCUAACUGAUAGAUAAUAUACCUCGUUAAAAUCAUACUAUAAAAAACCCAGUGAGAAAAAAAUCUAGUGAAGAAAAAAAGAGUACACAUCUCUAACAAUACGCAUAUAGGUUGCCUCAUUAAAAAUAUUACAAGUAAAAUUCAGUGGGACAAAACCUCGCAAGGAAACAAGAGUACAACGCAUAUUAACCUCCCCUAAUGAGAACAUCCUUUAAUCUUUGCAUUCCGAUCUUGUGCACCAUCUUCUUGAAAGUUGUAGUUGAAAGAGACUUGGUGAAUAAAUCAGCCACAUUGUCACUUGAACGAAUCUGUUGCACAUUAAUAUCACUAUUUUUUCGUAUCUUAUGUGUAUAGAAAAGCUUUGGCAAAAUGUGCUUCAUUCUAUCUCCUUUUAUGAAUCCUCCCUUAAGUUAUGCUAUGCAUAUUGCAUUAUCUUCGUAUAAAAUUAUGGGUACAUUAUCACAUUUCAAACCAUAUUAUUAUCGAAUGAGAUGCAUCAUAGACCUCAACCACACACAUUAUCAGUUUGUUUCAUGAAUAGCUAUAAUCUUAGCAUGAUUCGAUGAAGUGUCUACGAUAGACUACUUCGUAUAUCUCCAAGAUAUGAAAAUAUCCCUACAUGUGAACACAUAGUCUAUUUGAGACCGAGAUUUAUGUGAGUUAAAUAAAUACCCAGCAUCAUCAUAAUCAACAAGAUUAGGACUGCUAAAAUAAAUCCAUAUCAGUAGUCCCUUUUAGAUACUAUAAUAUGUGUUUGAUCUCAUUUCAGUAUCUCCUAGUAGGAGCAGAACUAUACCUUGCUAAUAAAUUAAUCGAGAAGGCUACAUCAGACCUUGUAGUAUUUACAAGGUAUAUUAAUGUUGUGCACCAAAUGCAUUAAGAUAUGAUACUUCAUAUUUUUCAUUUCAACAAAUAAUCUAUUGCUUUUGAAAACUCUCCUAGAGUUCCAAUGAUUUUCAAGUUAUAAACUUUUGCAAUAUAAUGAUUAUAAAUAAGUUUCCUAAAAACUUUUAUAUGCUUCAAAUAUUUUAAAUCCUUACAAAGUUUCAUAUAACUUUUGUCAAGUGGCAAUAUUCAAUUUCACGUGUGACAUCGUCAAGUGUUUGGAUUGCAAAUCAAAUAAGUUUUAUGCUUACCAAGAUGCAUCCUUUCAUGUCACUUGAUAAAUAUUUCUACGUUAGCAUGCUUAAAUAAAUGUAGAAUUCAGAUCCUCGUAAGUUUUUACAAUACUGCGUCAAUAUUGUAUCAAAGAUAUCAUUAAUGAUAUAUCAUUUUGUAUCUAUUCACAAUGCGACAUAACAUUUUGAGAUCUCAUUACUUCAUUAUUUUCAGGUACCUGAAUCUCUCAUAAGGUUUCAUGAAGUGUUAUGUCGUAGACUCUUCAAGAGCACAUUGUCUUCUUAUUAUGAUUAUUUGCUCCUUAUCCUUUACAAGGAUUAUUUUAUUUGGAACCGAUUGGUCUACCACGCUUCACACGUGCGUAGAAACACUUGCAGCUUAAAUAUGAAAUUAAAUUUAAGUCGACAGAUGCUUCCGACAUUUGACUUAAAUUAUCUUUUGAAUAAAGAUCUGAUGAUAAUUCCUAAUAUAUUUUAUAGUUGCUUAUAAUUUCCCCCUUAUGUUAGGAAAAUUAACAUACAUCCUCCAUAUUUUUUGAGGAAUCCAUCUUUGUGCAUCUUGAUAUAUUCAUUUAUCGUAUAUCGCAUAUCAAAACUAUUAGAUGGAAUAGUUGAUUCCUGACCUUGAACCAAUUAAGAGGGAAGAAAUAAUCAUAAUUUAUUGGUCUAAUACAUACAAGUGCUAUUGUAUGCAACAUAUCAUAUCUCAGAUCAACACAUGAAGCUUUGUUCUCAUUAGUAAUGGUUUAGCUAUUUAUCGAAGGCAUUCACUGCUAAACCAUCAUUAUCAAGAUGAAUUGUUUUGAUUAUACAAUCUGAAAAUUAUGUUCUUAACUUAAUUUUAUUGAGCAAGCAACUUUAUGAAUGUCAAACGGCAGGUUGACAAUGAAUGUACAUGUGUCUUCUUAUAUCGAUGCAUCUUAAUAGAUCACAUGACAGGUGAACGAAUCCAUAUUCACCUUUUAUACUUUUCAAAUUUAAGAAAUUCAAUCUCAACAUUAGUUGGUCCAACCAACUUAUCAUGAGAAAAAGCAAUACUAAAACUAAAGAAUUUUCUAAUUCCUCAAUAUAUGUUCAAUACUCAGUAUGCACAUCAUUGAGAUGUUGCAAUCGUUCAUGUCAAUUUAUGAACUUUUAUUCUAGUAAACUUUAAGUUUACCAUGACAUGUGCUUUUGCUUUAGUAAAUUUCAGAUUUACUAUUACAAGAAUAAGUUACAAAUUUACUGCAUCAUUCGGAGGUAGGUUGUGAUACCAUCACAAUCAAGUGCACGUUUUCAUUAAUAAACUUCUCAUUCCCCAGAAAUGAAAUAUAAUCAUGCCUUAAGCGUAUCAAAACAUGAUAGCUACUACAAAAGCAAAUUGAGGCACACAUAUGAUUUAUUGCUACCAUAUUCAAUUCAAGGAAUGGAGCAUAUUUAAUGGGACAUGUUUCACCAAAUGCCCAUUAUUUUGCCUUAACCAUCAUAAUAUCAUCAAUAUGGUGCAUUUAGAUUCAAACUCAACGUCUUUUCCAUAUAAAGGCGUCUUAGGCAUAAAUCGAUAGAACUUGAACCCAACUCCUUAUCAGUAUGGUGCAUUGGAAUUUUUAACAAUGUCUUACCCUCUUGAUGUGAUAAAAUUUAAAUCCAUCGUCUUACAAAAAUGCUUUUUGAAAAAAAAAAAAAAGAGUGAAUAAAUUUAAGACAAAUAAUUUUGAACCAAUUAGAUUUUUUUUCAGAUCCAACAAACCCAACAAGAUAUAACACUUGUGAUAUAUAUACUUGUUCUAGCUAUUCUUAUCAUUUAUCCAUAUAUUAUAUGAAAUUACAUUAUUAAUGAUGCAAUACUUUACACAAUGCUUCACUGGUACACUAAGAGACGUUAAAGUGGUCUUCCAACAUUCCACGUUAGAAGUAUUUGCUGGAAUACUCGUACAACCAAUAAAUAGAAAAGCACAUACUGUAAAUAACAAUAUUGACCAAGCCAGUUACCUCAUGCUACGAAGAGUAUUUUAAUUGGUUAGACAAAAAUACUUAUACAACAAAUACAUAUCAUAUGGUAGUAGCUUUCACGUGAUUUCUUAAUACAAGACAUAGGAAAUAAUCUUUGUUAAAGGAAAAUAAUUACUUUUCAUUAUACCGAGUGUCCUUAUAUGCGUGACUUAAAUUAUAAAUUUUGAGAAUCGUACUCACCUUGAUUCGGCAUAGGGUAGAGUCUCGUGCUGAUAACUUGUUAUUUAUCUAUAAUCUUUAAUAUAUUAAAAGUGUGAAAACCCUUGGAAUAGUAAUUUAAAUUGUUUGCCCUUCAUUACAAAUCUCCAUAAUAGACAAAAUUAUAAUUUCACUUAUUUUCUUCAUUUAUUAUAUUCUAAUAUUUAUAAUAUUGACUCCUAAAAUAUAUAAGACAGUUUUUCUCUAUUUGUAAAAAUAGGUCUUUUAAUAUAUGAUAAGAGGAAUCCUAUAUACAUGAAAAUAAGGAGUCCUGAUUAAUUAAAAAAAAACAAAUUUGCCUACUUUCAUAUUUAAAUAAAUGGAAAGAAAGAUUUCCUUUGUCCUUAUAUAUUCUAUAAUUUUUAUCAUCUUCACCAUAAACAAUUAGCAACUUUGCCUUAAUUACGUCUAAACUUGCUUGGCAUAGUAGGUUUGUCUCAUUACUUUACUGUUUUUAAUAUUUCACUAAGUAAUCUUAGGCUUUUGUUUUUCUUCAGUGGUUUUUUAAAUAGUAUGUUUUUCUUCAGAGGUUUUUUAAAUAGUAACUGUACCACUAUGUUCGAUUAUCAGUAUUAACAAGAAGAUUUUUUUAUCAUAAUCAAUUAGAAAAAUACUCCUAAAAUAGGAUAGAAAAAUACUUCUAAAAUAAGACUCUAUUAAAGAAAUACUUCUAUAAAUAUUGAUAUGCACAUUAAACUAGAGAAGAAAUCAAUUUACUUAUUGAAAAAAUAUGAUUGAUGCUCAUAUAACUUGAUUCAAUUGCAUGUAUAGAUUGGUGGAUGCUCAACAUAAUAGAAUUCAAUGUGUGGGUAUAUAUAUAUCUUCUUUAUUUUCAUUCAAACAUUACUUAUGUCAAAAUUUUCGCUCAGACAAGAAUUAUUUUCAUCAAAACUGAAAUUUUGUGAUCACUAUUUAUUUAAUUAAAUCUAAGAUUUUGAGAAAAUUUUCUAACAAAAUCUUAGAUUUAAUUAAAUAAAUUCUCCAAAAGAUGUUGAAUUUAAUUAUUGUAUUCAUCUUUAUUAUUUAAGAAAAUGUCUUAUUUAGUAUAACGUUUGAAUGCAAUAAAGUGAGGUACACGCGUGAGCCGCUUACACCUAAACUAAUAUUUAUUAUAAAGCAGACGACGAAGCACAAAAGGAAGCCACAUGGCAAGCUAUAGUUACGCCAUGUGGCAAUUCUUAGGACAAAACUAUUAAGUAUUGUAAUAAAAAUUUUGUAAUAAAGAAUAUUAAAAAUUUGAAUUUGAAAAUAAAAGAGGAAAAAAAAAGAGUCUAAAAUUGAAUUUGAAAUAUAUUAUUCUUAUUUAAAAAAAAUAUUAUCCUUCUUUUAAAAAAAGUUAUUACAUUAAAAAUAGAAACCCAUGCUUAAAGAGUUCUAAUAGACUUUUACUAUUUCAAACUUAUCUCUUUUAAAACUUAAAUCUAGAAAUUAUAAAAAAUAUUUAAAUAUAAUUUAAUUACAUAUUAUUGAAAGAUAAAAAUGUUAUUAAAAUAAUAAUAGUAAUAAUUAGUAGUAUAGUGGUAGGAACAGUUGUGUAAGUACGUAGUAUGUAGAAGUAGGAUAGUAAUAAUAAUAAUAAUAAUAAUUUUAAAAUUAAAGAUUGGCUCCAGGCUCUUUUAUUUAAAAAGUCCAAAAAUCCAAACCUAUUACUAAAUCGAGUCUAAGGUAACCAGUCCAAAAGAUAAAAGGAAAAUUAAACAAUUAAAUCAAAUUGAAAAGUGGAAAUAAUAAUAAUAAUAACAAUAAUUAAAACACUAUUAAAAAUACGUUAAACACACUGUGGAAGCACUAUUAAGAAUUUUAAAACAACUAAUUAAAUAUAAGAACAAGUUUGAGCAAGUGUCUUCUUUUUUUUUUUUGUUUAAAUCAAUUAAAUGAGUUUGAGUUCCUAAUAAAAUGCCAACUAUGUAUUUUUCAAGUUUGAAUGUAACUUCUUAAAUGAUUUACUAUUUUUGAAAUUUUGAAUUUCUAAACUAUUAGAUAAUGAUAAGUAAGAAUCUUAUCUUUUCUAAUAAAUUGAUAAGUGAUAUACUUAAAUUUUAAAUUUGACUGAAAUUUCGGUUGACAUAAAUAUCCACAUCUGUAACCUUCUAUAUAUAUCCCCUUCAAUACAUAUAUAUAGUAUUAUUUAAGCUUUCUUCUUUUCUUCUUUUUUUUUGUAAGAUACAAUUAUUUUCAUAUUUAGAUUGUAUAUUUGUAUUUAUCUCAAAAAAAAUUUAUAUGAUCAUUUUAUUCACAAGAUUAUUUUCAUUAUUGCUGUUAAAAUUAUCUUUGAAUAACUUAUCAAAGUACGUUGAUGUUUAACUUAGCUUUUAAUUUUUUUAUUGUUAUUUAUAAUUAACAUUAUAUCUAAUUUUUGUCACAGAUAUAUCUACCAUGCUUAAAAAGAUUACAAGUAAUGCUCAUCAUAUUUUUUUGAUUAAUUACCAAUAUAUAUUGUUCAUGGUUAAUUUAGUUUUGAAUUAUUUUAUUGUUAUUUAUGAUUAACAUUUUAUUUUUUGAAACAAAUGUAUCUACCAUGGAUUAAAAAAACUUAAAAGUAAUGCUCAUCAAAUUUCUCUGAAUAGAUUAGAAAGGUAUGUUCUCAUACUUGAUUUAAUUUUAUAGUAACUUUACUAUUUUUGUGAUUAACACUAUAUUUAUAUUUUGUCACAGAUGUAUCCAAGGAAGCUGAAACUUUCACGAAUCUUAUGCACGUAAAUCUUUCCAAAAAGCAAAAUAAAUAUUUGAGAAAUCAACAGUACAAUUGAGAGUUGAAAUAUAGAAAGAAUAUUUAUCAGACUAUUUUUGUAAAGAAUGAAUGCAAAUAUCUUUAUGCGUUCAAUUAUAAUAUAUUUUUCUAUCACAUUUACAUAUCCACUCUAUUUUAAGAAGGUUAUAAAAAAGAUCUAUAUGCUUUUAUAUAUUGCAAUUGAUUUAUUCUUUUCAUGAGUUCACUUGCAAAUUUAUAUUUAGUAUAUAAAAAAUAUUUACUAAUUUUAUUUGUCGUUUAUAUUUUUUAAAACCUCACAACUAAAAUCUCGAUAAACAACAAGUCAUAUGAGCAUUAUAAUAUAAAAAUUAAUUAACUUAAAUUUAAAUUCAGUAUUUUAUAUUUUGAAAUAUAAGAUAAGAAGACUUAAUUACUUAUAAAGUGUAGCCUAAAAAUAAGCUAAUUAAAAAAUAUGCUAGAGUAGUGAUAGUUUUAGUAGUAGCAGUGGUAGUAAUAACAAUAGAAAAAUAACAACUACUACUAUUACUACUACUAUUUUAUUAUUAUCAUCAUAACUUAUCUUAAAUAUUUAUCUCAAUUCAAUUAUAUAACUUAUUAUAUAAAUAUGCAUAUUUUUAAAAAAAAAUAAGAAUAAAGAGAAUAAUAAAUUAAUCUUAUUUUAAUAAUUUUAUGAUAGCAUUCGAAUUUAAAAGAUUAGAAAUAUUUAAAUUAAAAUUUAAAAAUUUUAAAAAGAACAAAAAAUACUUGAUUUUGACUUUUUUUCUUUUGGGUGGGUUUUCAGCUGGGGGGGAGGAGGAAUAUGGGGAGAGGGGCGUAAAUAGUUGUUUAUUUUGUUUCAUUAUCAUAUAUGUAAAUAAAAUAUUGUAUUAUAAUACUAUUGUCAAAUUACUUAUUCAAAGAAAUCAUUCGAAUUAAAAUAUUAUUGUGAUCACUUAUUUUAUCUUUCUAACAUUUAAUAUAUUCAAAAAUUUCUAUAAGUAUAUGUAAGUCCAUAAUAUAUAGUAUUAAAAGAGAAGAACAUUAUAUAAUAUUAAAAAUAAUCAAAAAAAAUAUUGAUAAGUACAAAAAGAUAUUUAAAAUAUUCAAUUGAGAUGAGUAGGGGGGAAAGGAAGUCGAAUAUUCAAGUUAAGAAAUUUAGUUUAAAACAAGAUUAAAGGUAAAUUAAAAAUAUAUGAAAUUACAUAUUAAUACUAUUGUCAAAAUUACUUAUACAAAGAAAUCAUUCGAAUUAAAAUAUUAUUAGGAUCACUUAUUUUAUCUUUCUAACACUUAAUAUGUUUGAAAAAAUCUAUUAGUAUAUGUAAGUCCAUAAUAUAUAUUAAAAGAGCAGAACACAUUAUAUAAUAUUAAAAAAUUUUAAUCAAAAAAAAUAUUGAUAAGUAGAAAAAGGUAUUUAAAAUAUUCAAUUGAGAUGAGGAGGGGAGGAGAGGAAGUCGAAUAUUCAAGUUAAGAAAGUUAUUUGAUUUAAAAUAAGAUUAAAGGAAAAUUAAAAAUAUAUAAAAUUACAUAUUAAAAGUAGUAAGUUAUCAUACUAAAGAGUUCUAAUUGUAUUCUUAAUGUUAUCUAUUCUUUUUUUAAAUUUGAAUUGGAGAUACAAUAUCUUCUCAAAGAUGAACUUACAAUUUUUUUUUAAAAUUAUAGAUACAUUUAAUUAUUAGCUGUAUUAAAAAAUAUAUCUAAAUGUAAUUAUUAAAAUAUUAAAUGAAACAUGAGAACAUACUACUACUAAUCAUAAAUAGUAGCAGUAGUUGUAGAACAUUGUAUAUAUGUAUAUUAGAAGUUGUACGUAGUAUGUGUAGUAGUAGUAUAAUACAAUUAAUAUGUUAAAUGAGAAAGUAUUUUUUAAAUUAUAACAAGUAAAAUUUUAAAUUUUGUAUGUCAUUUAAAGUAUCAAUAAACAACGAAUUAAAUGAACAUUACAAUAUAAGAACCCUAGAUUUAAAUUCAAUAUCUUAUAUUUUGAAAUGUAAGAGAAAAAAAUUCAGCUACCUAUGAAAUGUAACAAAAAAAUAAUAAUUCAACGUAUUCUGAAAAAAAUAAUUAAAUUAUAGUAUUUUUUUUUUUCCAAUAUUGAGGGUUGGGAUGAGGGAUAAGAAUUUUGAAUUAAUUUUGAGAAUAUAAUGAAUAAAUUAAAUAAAAGAAUUUCAAUAUAGAAAUUAAUUGAAAUUCAGUAAUUACUAUCCAUACAUUUUAUAUUUAAAAAAAAAAAAAGAUAAAGUACAUGAUUAAACAAAAUAAAUUUAUAAUUUUAUAUUAACAAAAAAUUACUUGAUAAUUACAUUAAGCAAUUUGAUAAGUUAAUAAAAGUCAAUAUUCACAAUCAAAUAAUAUUUGAUAGUGAACAAUGCAAUAAAGAAAACUGUUGAUCAUUUUUAUUUUUGAUAAUUAUAUGAUUCAUUAUUUUUUUUCAUUUGAUAUGAUUUGAUUAUGAGAUUGUCUGAAGGAGAGGUUGAGAGGGUUGAAGACAAGUGGGGGUGGUGCGGCGAAGUGAUGGUGGCGAAGGGAGAAUACAUAGUUCAACUAAAUUAAUUGAACUAUGUAAUUUUAUGAAUUAUUUAUUAUAAAAUAUAUUCAAUAUAUUAAUUUAAAAUAUAUUAAUGUGAUACAAUAAAAAAUAAUUUAUUAUUUCAAACUAAUAAGAUAACAUUUCUAAUGAUUUAUUUUCUAAAAAUAUUCCGCGCAUCGCGCAAGUACCUAUACUAGUAAAAUAUAAAAGCAAGAAUAAGAAGAAUAAAUAGAGAGAGAAGUGGAAAACUUUUUUAUUUUCCUUGAUGGAUGAGAGAUCAUCAGAUUGAGUAUACAAUGAACUAAAUCUCUUUAUUUAUAGGAAAAAAUACUCCUAAUUUCUGACAAAAAGACAGAUACUUCAAAUCCUAAUAGAUAUCAACUAAAUCUUGAUAGAUCCUAUCUAUAUUCUUGAUAGACAUUCACUAUAAUGUAAAUAAAUUUAUAACAAUCCUAAUUAUUUCUCGAAAUAUAAUUUAGGACUCUUUCUUCACUUAUAAAAGGAAAAAAGAAAACUUAUCAAUAUUAGUUCUUAAUAUAUUUUAGGACUUGUCGAGCCCCAUUUUUAUCAGGAAAAACGGGAUUCGACGUGACCACUCUUUUUAGAAUUGUUUGUAGGACAGUGUGAAGAGUCGCAACCUAACAUAUUAAGGUGCAUAAGGGCACCGGUCUAGGCUAACUACGAGCCUAUUUUAUUAUUCAGUCUAGUUCAUCAAAAAUUCGGGUAAGGGUUCAAAUUACCUCGAAAGAAAGGUGUUAGGCCCCUUUCGAGGUCCACAAAGGUGGUUCCCGACCGAAUUCAUACUUUACGUGGGAAUUUUAUGUGAUCAAAUAAAUGUCGCUUAUUAUUAACUUAAAUUUUUACUAACUGAUAAAGUAAGUAAUGAACAGACAUUUAACUUAAUUAUUUUAGCUAUUAAUUAUCUAAGUGAUAAAAUCAAUAAAACAUGUAAUAAGACAAGCGAGAAGAAAAAAAUGACAUAAAUUAUAACAAAGGGAACUGCUUAUGUAAUAAACUACCCCAAAUAAAUAAACAUGUAAAGUAAAUAGAAAGAUAAAUUAGAAAAGAAAAUCCGACCUACUGGCCGAAUUCCUAAGCAAGUAACAAUGUCAAAUGUCAUGUAAUGUCUCUAGAGAUCAUCACUUCCAGUUGACUACCCGUCCCACCACAUGUAGGUUGAUUGUUAAAUCUAAAGAAGUUCUAAGACAAGAAUAAAACUAACGUCUUUAGUAAUAUCUAUAGUCCCACUGAUCGUCCAAGAGGCAUUGGACUUUGCUAUUUUGUUUUGUGGUCUAGAAAAAGUAAAACUAUGUUUCCUAGGACUGAAAACGCAUAACAAGUAGGACGUCACGUAGCAAAUAAUUGUCCCAAGUUAGCCUCUUAGUUAAUUAAAGUUGAUUAAUGUGACUGCCAUGCAAAGACAAAUAAUUACUUAUUUUAUUUAGUCAACCUAUAGGCAUGAUAUCUAUGGGGUCACACAAUUGUUUAUUGAAAAGCAUUUAUAACAAUAUAGUAAGAAUUCAUGAAAAUAAAGAAGAAAUGUCGAAGCAAGCAUGAGAACGUUAAUUUAAUGCGUGAAAGAUAGUUAAACCUUUGGUCAUGGUAUCUAAGUGUUUAUGUCAAAUAAUGUAUUGUGAAUAAAAGCAUGUCAAAGGCAAAUAUGUCUUAAGAGUGAUAUCCCUUAAUUAUGCAAAGAGGUAUCAUAAAUUAAUGAAACGCUGAAAAUUCACUUAAACAUGUCAAAAUUUAUAUUAAACAUGCUGAAAAUUCAAUUAAUCAUGCUGGAAAUUUAAUUAAACGUCCUGAAAAUUCAAUUAAACAUGCUGAAGAUUAAAUUAAAUAUGCUGAAAAUUCAAUUAAACAUGCAGGAAAUUAUACUAGACAUGCUGAAAGUUCAAUUAAACGUGCUGAAAGUCAAAUGUUAACAUGCCAAAAAUAUAUUAACGGGGAUUUAAUUUAAUAUGCUUAAUACGUUAACAUGCUUGAAUCUAAUUUAAUAUGCCAACAUGUAAAAUAUAUGCUUAAUGUCAAUCUAAUUUAGGAUGCCGGAUUCAGUUAAAUCUUAAAAACAAGAAUUCUAAAUGGAUUAAUUAAUAAACCGUAGACUGAGUGCCUAAAUGAUUCAUAUGUUAAUAAGUCCUGAGAUUGUGUACCUAAAUGAUUUGAGUAGCAUGUAACACACAUAAAACCUAAGUCAUGCCUAUCUAUACUAUUCAUAGAGCACGUAAGUCCCCGCCCCCGAGCAGUCACCAAAAUUUAUUAUUACAUCACUAAUGUUUGUACAAUAAUAUUACAAACCAAAUGAUAAACAAUAAAAACUGAAUAGAAAGAACUAAUAUAGUCCAUUGUAAACACCCCGGCGAAUCUUGCAAUCCCCAAAACACUUAAUGAUACUUGUUAGAUACAAAUCAAAAGAGCAAGGCAAGUACAAAAGAACACUCGAAUACACCAACACAUAAUAUUAAACAACACAUCGUCUUAAACAAAAGAACAAAGAAAACAAAGGCAUAUUAAGCAAGCAUUAUUUCAAAUUAGUUCCUAUAAAUAUGCUUUCUAUGUUUUGCUAUCACAAAUACUACGGGAUAAGAAACGAAUGCAUCGAUUAGUGACUUAUCGGUUGACGAUAACGAAUAAUAAUAAUAAUAAAAGAAAACCAAGAAGCACGGAAUCCAAGAACAAAUUGCCACCGAAAGAUCAAGAUUAAUGCUUCAAAAAUGAGUGUCAAAAUAAUAAAGUAAAAUUACCUUUUUUUUUUAAGCUUUUGUCAGAGAAAACAUAUGUACACAUUGUAACUUGUACCCAAUAAGAGAAUGGGGUUGUUUAUAUAGUAAAUUGUAACUUACGCAAUAAAAGAAUGGGGGUUGUUUAUAUAGUAAAGGUGGCUGGAGGAUAAAAGGAAGAAAUAUUUUUCCUCUGUCAACUAAGGACAUUGUUUCUCUAAAUAAACACAUCAAUCAAUCAUGUAAAAAUCCGCUAGAGAAAUAAAAGGAAAGCAAAUAACUGAAAGAAUCAAUCAAUAAUUUUAUCUUCCUUAACUAAAUAUAGACUAAAUCAAUUAACAACAAAUUUAUCAUAAAUAGUAAAAAAAAUUAAAACACUAAAAUACAGAUAUGCAUCCACUUGUACUGAUUAGAAAAUAGGAAAACAAUUAAUCAUGUAGACACAGUCCAAUUAUUUUAAUUGCAUACCAAAUCAUUUUCCAAUCGUCAAAAGAUUCCAUACAUAUCUUGCUAAUGUAAAUCAGACAAGUCCACAUAAUUAAGCAUGGAAGCCUUCAUAAUUCAAAUUCAUAUUAUUGCGCACAUAAAUCAAAUACUAAAAUGAGCAUAUGAACAUCACAAUUCCAUAAUCAAUAAACUCAUGCCAACGAUAUAACAGGGAAUCAAAGUUAAAAUUGGGGUUUGGGCAUCUAAUAGUCUAGGCAUGUAAGUGAACAUAAAAUUGCAAGAAUCAAGUCAAUAUCAUGCCUCAAGAGUCACAAUUUCACAUCUACAAAUUUGUCUUGACAAAAUAGGGAUAGAAAAAAAACUAAAACUGGACAUAAAUUUGAACCACGAUGUCAAACCUGAGAUGGGUUCUUAAGAAACCAUCUUUUUCUGACUGAGAUUUGGUCAUUUCAUGCGGGGUGGUCCAGCGGCAGCGUUUAGUUGGUGCGGCUCGCCGGCUGGUUCUUCGUGGUAAGGUUACCGGCAGCGACCGGUGAUGUUGCAGGUGAGGGACGGCGACGUCGCUGGUUCGUCAGUCGCGCCGCCGAAGAGAGAAUAAUGGAUAAGGCAGCGGCUGCCGAUCUUGCUGGCAACGGCUGCCGGUCUUGCUGGCAGCGGUGUUGUUGGUGUUGGCUCGUCAGCGCCUUCGACAGCUGGUGGUUGAGGGCUAUUGCGGCUGGAGAGAAGGGGACAGCGUGGAGCUGCUGGUGGAAGAGAGAAAUGGGGAUAGGGUCGUCGUUAGUGGCUGGCCACGGGUGACGGCUUGGUUGGCUUUUCUUUUUGAGAAAGAGAGAGAUGAGGAGUUAGGGUGCGGCUGUUUGUGAGUGGGAAAAUGAGAAUUAGGGUUUUGUUGUUGUUUAAAAUGAAAAGAGAUGGAGAUUGAUCUAAGCCGUUGGAUCAACUUUAAUCAACGGCUAAGAUUAAGGUAUUCAAAAAUAGGUCAUAAAUUGAGAUUUAAAUAGAGG
RNAcentral lists this long non-coding RNA (17366 nucleotides) under Capsicum annuum. RNAcentral describes it as "long non-coding RNA (CANN_LNC011894)". The record is from RNAcentral. Lineage: Eukaryota; Viridiplantae; Streptophyta; Magnoliopsida; Solanales; Solanaceae.